Cricetulus griseus (Chinese hamster) is the source of this 461-nucleotide non-coding RNA. The record is from RefSeq and is a predicted model, not a curated record. NCBI's taxonomy places the organism in Eukaryota, Metazoa, Chordata, Mammalia, Rodentia, Cricetidae.
CCUGUACAGACUGCUGUCUGCCUGCUGGCUAGGUUGCUCUGACAUGGCCUUGACAUGUAGCUGGGAUUGGCCUGCAACUUUUGGUUCUCCUGCCUCCACCUUUAGGAAACUAUGAUUACAGAUAUGAGCAUUCCCUCCCAGCAGCUUGUUAGAAAUCUCUGUAAUCACAAGACAGCCAUUGAAGAGAAUCUUUUGAGACUUGCUGCAGCUAUAAAACCUCACUCAGAGUCCUUCAGAGAACCUGUAUGGCCAGGCUCUACGUUUCCUCUCCUUGAACAAAGCCCAGGAGCAUGGCUCUCUCAGCUCUGUUCUGUGGGCUUCUCCACCAAUUUUCUUGUGGUUUGACCAUGGAAGUAUGAAGAGGGACCAGACCAGUUCAGGACUUUUCAAAACUUCUUACAACUUCUAAUAAGAAAUACAUUUUAAGCUUCAUAAUCUAAUAAAUAUUUAUAUUAUUAUAA